AUUGAACGCUGGCGGCAGGCCUAACACAUGCAAGUCGAGCGGAUGAAGGGAGCUUGCUCCUGGAUUCAGCGGCGGACGGGUGAGUAAUGCCUGGAAUCUGCCUGGUAGUGGGGGAUAACGUCCGGAAACGGGCGCUAAUACCGCAUACGUCCUGAGGGAGAAAGUGGGGGAUCUUCGGACCUCACGCUAUCAGAUGAGCCUAGGUCGGAUUAGCUAGUUGGUGGGGUAAAGGCCUACCAAGGCGACGAUCCGUAACUGGUCUGAGAGGAUGAUCAGUCACACUGGAACUGAGACACGGUCCAGACUCCUACGGGAGGCAGCAGUGGGGAAUAUUGGACAAUGGGCGAAAGCCUGAUCCAGCCAUGCCGCGUGUGUGAAGAAGGUCUUCGGAUUGUAAAGCACUUUAAGUUGGGAGGAAGGGCAGUAAGUUAAUACCUUGCUGUUUUGACGUUACCAACAGAAUAAGCACCGGCUAACUUCGU
RNAcentral lists this ribosomal RNA (482 nucleotides) under uncultured bacterium. RNAcentral's name for it is "partial 16S ribosomal RNA". It matches the Rfam family "Bacterial small subunit ribosomal RNA", at positions 30 to 506 of the family's 1533-position model. The record is from RNAcentral.